AACAGGAUUAGAUACCCUGGUAGUCCAUGCCGUAAACGUUGGGAACUAGGUGUGGGUCUCAUUCCACGAGAUCCGUGCCGCAGCUAACGCAUUAAGUUCCCCGCCUGGGGAGUACGGCCGCAAGGCUAAAACUCAAAGGAAUUGACGGGGGCCCGCACAAGCGGCGGAGCAUGCGGAUUAAUUCGAUGCAACGCGAAGAACCUUACCAAGGCUUGACAUAUACCGGAAACAUCUAGAGAUAGGUGCCCCGCAAGGUCGGUAUACAGGUGGUGCAUGGUUGUCGUCAGCUCGUGUCGUGAGAUGUUGGGUUAAGUCCCGCAACGAGCGCAACCCUCGUUCUAUGUUGCCAGCACGUAAUGGUGGGGACUCAUAGGAGACUGCCGGGGUCAACUCGGAGGAAGGUGGGGAUGACGUCAAAUCAUCAUGCCCCUUAUGUCUUGGGCUUCACGCAUGCUACAAUGGCCGGUACAAAGGGCUGCGAAACCGCGAGGUGGAGCGAAUCCCAAAAAACCGGUCUCAGUUCGGAUUGGGGUCUGCAACUCGACCCCAUGAAGUCGGAGUCGCUAGUAAUCGCAGAUCAGCAACGCUGCGGUGAAUACGUUCCCGGGCCUUGUACACACCGCCCGUCAAGUCACGAAAGUCGGUAACACCCGAAGCCGGUGGCCCAACUCUUUGAGGGGGAGCCGUCGAAGGUGGGACUGGCGAUUGGGACUAAGUCGUAACAAGGUAACCGUA
Molecule: ribosomal RNA, 735 nt
Filed under: uncultured Actinomycetes bacterium
Lineage: Bacteria; Bacillati; Actinomycetota; Actinomycetes
Description: bacterial SSU rRNA
Rfam family: Bacterial small subunit ribosomal RNA
Source: RNAcentral